UACAUACAAUGUAAGUCGCUUUGGAUAAAAGUGUCUGCUGAAUGGCAUUUA
This is a non-coding RNA of Salmo salar (Atlantic salmon), 51 nucleotides long. The record is from Rfam. NCBI's taxonomy places the organism in Eukaryota, Metazoa, Chordata, Actinopteri, Salmoniformes, Salmonidae.